UCGGGAUUCAAGCUAGUAUGCAACUGGCUAAACAGUGGAGAAAGCUUGGUUGUUACUGUGGCCCAUCUCUCCUCUAGUGAGCCAAGAUUACACCACUACACUCCAGCCUGGGUGACACAGUGAAACUCCAUCUCAAAAAGAAAAAAGAAUGGAGAGUCAAGGGACUUAUAAGGGUAGCCAACAAGAUGUAAGCAGAAGUCUUAUGGUGUGGCUUCUGGGAAACCUCUCCAAAGGAAUUUCUGAUUAAAUGAAUACAAGGAGGAAGAGAGACUGGCACAAAAUAGAGAGAAUAACCAGUUAUAAAGAGAAAUGAGAUUUAUGACCAAGGCAAGAGAGGAGAGUUUCAAGAAUAAAGAAAUAAGAGAGCUAACAGAAGUCUAGGAAGGACUGAGAGAAGACCUCUGGAAAACUGAUCUUCAGAGAAUGAUCUUUGCAGGAAAUCUCUGUUACCUGAAGAUGAAAAGGAAUGUGAACCAACUCUGAUCCCAAUUCAGACCUUUGCCAACUGACAGUUCAGGUGAAGGCCCUCUGGGGUGACCAGAAAGCAAAGAAAAGAUGAGUAUAUUAUUGCAGAACAGUUCUCUUUCCCUUGGGAUGAAAGAAAAAAUAAAGAAGAGAGCUAAGCCUUGAAAUACAGUUCAUAAAUUUCCAAAACAGAAUAGAUUCCGUUCUCAGGGGCAAGUGGAACAAGCAAGAAGUCUGGAUGCCUUGGGCAGCAGCAACCUACAGUGAGCCAACUGCUUAGUGGAUGCCUGAAAACAAGACCAUCUAAAGAUUUCCCUGUUGCCUCGGCCUAUAAAAUCUGUACCAAGUGACAGAUACAUGAAGUGGUGUGGGUGGCUGGGCAAUGAGGCAAUCAGUGGGAAGAGUGAGCUGGCUGUACCUGUAGGUGUUAAAAAAGGCAAGAGCUGCAUAUGCAAUGAGCCAACAUUAAGUGAAUUUAAGAGUGACUAUUCUCCAUUCUCUUGACUCCCUCAGCUGCCCUUUUAUUAAUUUUUCUCUUCAGGCCUGACCUCAAAUUUAAUUUAUAAUCUAACUCUCCCAUAUAAAAUAUGGAGAGUACAGAUACAGUUUGAAUUACCUGGCCAACACCUAUCACAUGACUGCUUAAGUACCAGGAUCAACACUGUUGAAUAGCUAUGAAGGGAAGAAUCUCUAGAAGCUGGGAAAUUUUGCUAAGUCUGCUAAAAUCCUCUGUGUGGGUAUCUCCCGCAGACUGUGGACACUUGAAACUCUAAUAACCACUUGGCAAUAUUUACAACAAUAAGCCCCUGGUGGCUCCCCUGCAGAAGCAGGUUGAGAAGGGAGGGGAAAGCCACAUAUCACACUUACCAUCUUCUGUUUCCUGCCACACGAUGCCUUCAAGGUUGACGCUAGUUCCAGGUUCA
This is a long non-coding RNA of Symphalangus syndactylus (siamang), 1388 nucleotides long. RefSeq lists it as uncharacterized. Lineage: Eukaryota; Metazoa; Chordata; Mammalia; Primates; Hylobatidae. The record is from RefSeq and is a predicted model, not a curated record.